UGGAGCUGAAGUCAGUCGAAGAUACCAGCUGGCUGCAACUGUUUAUUAAAAACACAGCACUGUGCAAACACGAAAGUGGACGUAUACGGUGUGACGCCUGCCCGGUGCCGGAAGGUUAAUUGAUGGGGUCAGCGCAAGCGAAGCUCCUGAUCGAAGCCCCGGUAAACGGCGGCCGUAACUAUAACGGUCCUAAGGUAGCGAAAUUCCUUGUCGGGUAAGUUCCGACCUGCACGAAUGGCGUAAUGAUGGCCAGGCUGUCUCCACCCGAGACUCAGUGAAAUUGAACUCGCUGUGAAGAUGCAGUGUACCCGCGGCAAGACGGAAAGACCCCGUGAACCUUUACUAUAGCUUGACACUGAACAUUGAGCCUUGAUGUGUAGGAUAGGUGGGAGGCUUUGAAGUGUGGACGCCAGUCUGCAUGGAGCCGACCUUGAAAUACCACCCUUUAAUGUUUGAUGUUCUAACGUGGACCCGUAAUCCGGGUUGCGGACAGUGUCUGGUGGGUAGUUUGACUGGGGCGGUCUCCUCCUAAAGAGUAACGGAGGAGCACGAAGGUUGGCUAAUCCUGGUCGGACAUCAGGAGGUUAGUGCAAUGGCAUAAGCCAGCUUGACUGCGAGCGUGACGGCGCGAGCAGGUGCGAAAGCAGGUCAUAGUGAUCCGGUGGUUCUGAAUGGAAGGGCCAUCGCUCAACGGAUAAAAGGUACUCCGGGGAUAACAGGCUGAUACCGCCCAAGAGUUCAUAUCGACGGCGGUGUUUGGCACCUCGAUGUCGGCUCAUCACAUCCUGGGGCUGAAGUAGGUCCCAAGGGUAUGGCUGUUCGCCAUUUAAAGUGGUACGCGAGCUGGGUUUAGAACGUCGUGAGACAGUUCGGUCCCUAUCUGCCGUGGGCGCUGGAGAACUGAGGGGGGCUGCUCCUAGUACGAGAGGACCGGAGUGGACGCAUCACUGGUGUUCGGGUUGUCAUGCCAAUGGCACUGCCCGGUAGCUAAAUGCGGAAGAGAUAAGUGCUGAAAGCAUCUAAGCACGAAACUUGCCCCGAGAUGAGUUCUCCCUGAGACUUUAGGUCUCCUGAAGGAACGUUGAAGACGACGACGUUGAUAGGCCGGGUGUGUAAGCGCAGCGAUGCGUUGAGCUAACCGGUACUAAUGAACCGUGAGGCUUAACCUU
Molecule: ribosomal RNA, 1169 nt
Filed under: Salmonella enterica
Lineage: Bacteria; Pseudomonadati; Pseudomonadota; Gammaproteobacteria; Enterobacterales; Enterobacteriaceae
Also listed under: 2 other names
Description: partial 23S ribosomal RNA
Rfam family: Bacterial large subunit ribosomal RNA
Source: RNAcentral